Molecule: ribosomal RNA, 488 nt
Filed under: uncultured bacterium
Lineage: Bacteria
Description: SSU rRNA
Rfam family: Bacterial small subunit ribosomal RNA
Source: RNAcentral
AGGACGAACGCUGGCGGCGUGCUUCACACAUGCAAGUCGAACGGGGCUCAUUCGGUGGUAACACCGGAGAAGGCCUAGUGGCGAACGGGUGCGUAACACGUGAAGAACCUGCCCCGAAGACUGGGAUAACAGCGGGAAACCGCUGCUAAUACCGGAUGACCCCACCAGGCCGCAUGGCCAGGUGAGGAAAUGGGCCUACCGCUUCGGGAGGGCUUCGCGGCCUAUCAGCUUGUUGGUGGGGUAACGGCCUACCAAGGCUACGACGGGUAGCUGGUCUGAGAGGACGACCAGCCACACUGGGACUGAGACACGGCCCAGACUCCUACGGGAGGCAGCAGUGGGGAAUCGUUGCGCAAUGGGCGAAAGCCUGACGCAGCAACGCCGCGUGAGGGAUGAAGGUCUUCGGGUUGUAAACCUCUUUCGAGCAGGGACGAUUGUGACGGUACCUGCAGAAGAAGCUCGGCCAACUACGUGCCAGCAGCCGCGGU